GGGGGCGUCACGGUUUCGACGUGAUAUUUGAUGUUUUGAGAGCAUGUCGAGUUUUGUAUGGGAACUUGUAAAAAACGUACAAAUCAAAUAAGUGCAAACAAUAACGUUGCAUUCGCUUAAUUUAGAUAUUAAGUGACUUGUUGGGGAUGUUUGUCUAUCAAUUGAACCAACUAGUAUUAAAAAGAUAGAACUUGCCAAUUAGAUUUUUUUGUUUUGUAUUUGGCAAAAAUUACUAAACCGGCUUUUAUAUUAAUCUGUGCUCUUGAGGUGAUAUAAAAGUAUAUUCAAGAGAUAAACAUGUAGUGCUUGGAACUGAUAGUGUUGCGGACAUGGGUUCGACUCCCAUCGCCUCCACCA
Molecule: transfer-messenger RNA, 357 nt
Filed under: Candidatus Babelota bacterium
Lineage: Bacteria
Also listed under: 1 other name
Rfam family: transfer-messenger RNA
About the family: Bacterial tmRNA, also known as 10Sa RNA or SsrA, is named for its dual tRNA and mRNA-like properties. Its role is to liberate the mRNA from a stalled ribosome.
Source: RNAcentral